AUCCGGCUGACGAGUCCUGAAUAGGACGAUACGCGAGUCCUGGAU
RNAcentral lists this non-coding RNA (45 nucleotides) under Schistosoma margrebowiei. The record is from RNAcentral. Lineage: Eukaryota; Metazoa; Platyhelminthes; Trematoda; Strigeidida; Schistosomatidae.